RNAcentral lists this ribosomal RNA (274 nucleotides) under uncultured Enterococcus sp. RNAcentral describes it as "partial 16S ribosomal RNA". It matches the Rfam family "Bacterial small subunit ribosomal RNA", at positions 77 to 339 of the family's 1533-position model. The record is from RNAcentral. Lineage: Bacteria; Bacillati; Bacillota; Bacilli; Lactobacillales; Enterococcaceae.
AGCUUGCUCCACCGAAAGAAAAGGAGUGGCGAACGGGUGAGUAACACGUGGGUAACCUGCCCAUCAGAAGGGGAUAACACUUGGAAACAGGUGCUAAUACCGUAUAACAAUAGAAACCGCAUGGUUUCUAUUUGAAAGGCGCUUUUGCGUCACUGAUGGAUGGACCCGCGGUGCAUUAGCUAGUUGGUGAGGUAACGGCUCACCAAGGCAACGAUGCAUAGCCGACCUGAGAGGGUGAUCGGCCACAUUGGGACUGAGACACGGCCCAAACUCC